RNAcentral lists this long non-coding RNA (582 nucleotides) under Pongo abelii (Sumatran orangutan). RNAcentral's name for it is "lincRNA". Lineage: Eukaryota; Metazoa; Chordata; Mammalia; Primates; Hominidae. The record is from RNAcentral.
CUGAUCCAUAUGAAUUUCUCUUAUUAAGAAAAAUAAAGCAUCCAGGAUUCAAUGAAGAACUGUCUAUCACCUUGCUAAUCAUUCAGAAACAUGUUGCAGGCUUAAGCCAUUUUCGAUAUAGAUAUUGAAACAAUUACUUGCUAAGAGCAAACUUGAAGGUAUGGAUAAGGCCCUGAGUCAUCUUCCUGAACUGAAUGAUAGUUAAGCUGAAUGUACGUAUAAAAUAUGAUUUUUCUAACCACUUGCUCACCAACAAGGAAAACUUUUAAGUAGAGCAGAACCUGAAUAGACAAGACAUUUCUUUCUUUUGGUAGAAAAUGAUUUACCCUCACUGUCUAGUUAAUUGUAGACUAGGUAAUUUCAACUUUGUGAUUUAUUGCCAGAGACAUUUUCUUCUGUACUGUAAAGUGUGUGUCAAAAAAAAAAAUAGCGAUUUUGGAGGAUUAGGGGCCUUUGAUAAAUUGCCUGCAAUUCUGGCAGUAUGAACUGAAUAUUAAUUUCUCCCUUUCAAGAACGUUUUUAUUUAUUAAUUCCUUACAAAAACUCCCUAAACUUUGGAACAGCUCUCAUUUGCCUGUAUUC